CUCGACAGUCAACAGUGAAUGACGCCACACGCGGAAUUAGGCGCUCAAUACCCAUGAUGCUUUGCGGCCUGCUGUCCAACCUCCUCUGGGUUACACAGAGUCUUUUUGAAAUGGCAUACAUGAUGCUAUAUAUCUCUUACCAUGACAAUGAAUUCAUUUAUCAUUCAUUUCCUCAGUUAAUUAUACAUUUUGAAUAUUAAAUACAAAAUGGUAUGAUAAGGACAGUUAUACAUUGGGAUGAAAAGUUAAGAACAAAGUACGAUCUUGUUUGAAAUGUUGGUUAAAGGUUCUCUUAAGGUGUCCAACUUACCAUGUGAUUGCAGACAUAAACAGUUUCACAUCCCAUACAAUCAUAACCAUAUAUUAUAUUUGCGCAUUCGUUCUAUCUUUAAAUGGCAAUCUUUAUAGAGUUUUGUUUAUGUUUAGCCUGCA
Molecule: non-coding RNA, 432 nt
Organism: Paramuricea clavata
Lineage: Eukaryota; Metazoa; Cnidaria; Anthozoa; Malacalcyonacea; Plexauridae
Source: the annotation of a GenBank genome assembly